Molecule: long non-coding RNA, 1180 nt
Organism: Chenopodium quinoa (quinoa)
Lineage: Eukaryota; Viridiplantae; Streptophyta; Magnoliopsida; Caryophyllales; Amaranthaceae
Exons: 3
Source: RefSeq, a predicted model, not a curated record
UCGGGUGUACCUUGUUUUCCGGAUAAGAGCGGAAACAAGCUCAGGCCACGCGACAUAGUUGACGCGUGUGAGCCCGACAGAGUAGGCCAGUUUUAUUGGGGGUCGCUACGUUGGCGUAUAUGUAUCGGCAAUUAGGAUUCUCAAGUCGGACUGAUGCGGCAGGUAUCACUGGAUGUCUGACGUUGUUACAGACCUGGAUAUACGAGUAUUUUCCUGCGUUUCGACCACACCGCAACCCAGUUCCUAUUGGGGAUGGCCAGCCACGUCCCUGUGCGUGGAGUCCGCGAGUCGAGAAGAAGUCCAUUGACCGCCUGCGAUCGAUACGGUUAUCGUUUGAUAGGAUGUCCCCAUUAGAGGUGAACUGGAUGCCUUUCGGCCAAAACCCUAGUAAUAGGGUACCUAGGACCCUGUACACAGGACUGAUUCAGUAUCGUGAGAUCGUAGAGGCGUACAUGCCGCAGCGCUGUCUUCGCCAGCUUGGAUUUGUCCAAGUUGUUCCUCCUCCACCAGCAUGGCCUAGUAAGGAGGUCCGAUUUGCAUCGUCGAAGGAGUACGUCGUCCAAUGGCCGGCAAGCAUGAUUGCCACGUGGGAGCAGUUUCCGAUGGUUGCCCGCAUAUGGAUUGAGCAGCUGCUGCGGCCGCUAACUAGGGUGACUGCCAUGUGUGACUAGCACUACAUGGAGUGGUACAACCGACACUCGCACCCGAGGUUGAUCAGAGACCUCCACCAUGGCGACGACGCCGAUGAUGAUGAUGUGCCACCGGCCACUACCAUGGAUGCGUGGAUGAGAAAGAUGAUGCAGGUGGCACACAUAAUUUUUGAAAAAAGAGACAGCAUGACGGAUGCAUUAGGCAGAACGACGAUUGAUGAUAUGGAACGGGCUCUUGAGCAGUGGCAGUGGGCGUCACAAAGGGAUUACUAAAUGAACAUUUUGUACAUUAUCAUAGUUGUUUGUAAAAGUUGACAUUAUCUUUUUAGUUUGUAACAUUUGAAAUUUUUAUUUUAAGUUUUUAGAAUUUGACAUUAUCUUUUUAGUUUUUAAAAUUAUUAUUUUAAGUUUUAAAUUAGUGUGCAUGCAAGAUAUAAAUUAGAAUAUGAAAAUUAAAUAAAUGGAAAAAAAAUAGCAAUAACAAUACAAGGUCACAUAGAAAAGGUAGGUGUACACGGGAAAAACUAAAU